This 444-nucleotide ribosomal RNA is filed under the name uncultured bacterium. RNAcentral's name for it is "bacterial SSU rRNA". It matches the Rfam family "Bacterial small subunit ribosomal RNA", at positions 28 to 478 of the family's 1533-position model. The record is from RNAcentral.
GAUGAACGCUGGCGGCGUGCUUAACACAUGCAAGUCGAACGGGAUCGGCUGGAGCUUGCUCCGGCCGUGAGAGUGGCGAACGGGUGAGUAAUGCGUGACCGACCUGCCCCAUACACCGGAAUAGCUUCUGGAAACGGGUGGUAAUGCCGGAUGCUCCAGUUGGAUGCAUGUCCUUCUGGGAAAGAUUCAUCGGUAUGGGAUGGGGUCGCGUCCUAUCAGGUAGUCGGCGGGGUAACGGCCCACCGAGCCUACGACGGGUAGCCGGCCUGAGAGGGCGACCGGCCACAUUGGGACUGAGAUACGGCCCAGACUCCUACGGGAGGCAGCAGUGGGGAAUAUUGCACAAUGGGCGCAAGCCUGAUGCAGCGACGCCGCGUGCGGGAUGACGGCCUUCGGGUUGUAAACCGCUUUUGACUGGGAGCAAGCCCUUCGGGGUGAGUGUAC